UGAUGAGGACCGAGGAGGCGAGGACUGAGAACUGAGAAAGACUGAGGACUGAGGAAGACAGAGGAUUGAGGACAACCAAGUUGCUGACAGCGUUGAGAGCCGAUGGACUGGAGAGCGACGGCCGAAGAUUGCGUGGAGAGCGACGACCGACGAUUGUGUGGAGACUGGAGAGAGAGAAUAGAGAGCUACAGUGAGGUGAGGAGGAGUCGGCGACUCAACGUUGCAAGUGAAGAUCGAUGACCCGAGUUAGCCACGAUGGUUAAUCGGUCGAUGUCGGGAGGAGAGUAGAGGUUGGA
Molecule: long non-coding RNA, 296 nt
Organism: Manihot esculenta (cassava)
Lineage: Eukaryota; Viridiplantae; Streptophyta; Magnoliopsida; Malpighiales; Euphorbiaceae
Exons: 3
Source: RefSeq, a predicted model, not a curated record